CCCAGACUCCUACGGGAGGCAGCAGUGGGGGAUAUUGCACAAUGGGGGAAACCCUGAUGCAGCGACGCCGCGUGGGCGAAGAAGUAUUUCGGUAUGUAAAGCUCUGUCAGCAGGGAAGAAGAAUGACGGUACCUGAAGAAGAAGCACCGGCUAAAUACGUGCCAGCAGCCGCGGUAAUACGUAUGGUGCAAGCGUUAUCCGGAUUUACUGGGUGUAAAGGGAGCGCAGGCGGUUCUGCAAGUCUGAUGUGAAAGCCCGGGGCUCAACCGCGGGACUGCAUUGGAAACUGCGGGACUGGAGUGUCGGAGGGGUAAGCGGAAUUCCUGGUGUAGCGGUGAAAUGCGUAGAUAUCAGGAGGAACACCGGUGGCGAAGGCGGCUUACUGGACGAUGACUGACGCUGAGGCUCGAAAGCGUGGGGAGCAAACAGGAUUAGAUACCCGAGUA
RNAcentral lists this ribosomal RNA (446 nucleotides) under uncultured bacterium. RNAcentral describes it as "bacterial SSU rRNA". It matches the Rfam family "Bacterial small subunit ribosomal RNA", at positions 330 to 792 of the family's 1533-position model. The record is from RNAcentral.